UACGGGGGGAGCAAGCGUUGUUCGGAUUUACUGGGCGUAAAGGGCGCGUAGGCGGCACUGCAAGUCAGUUGUGAAAUCUCCGGGCUUAACCCGGAAAGGUCAACUGAUACUGCAGGGCUAGAGUGCAGAAGGGGCAACUGGAAUUCUCGGUGUAGCGGUGAAAUGCGUAGAUAUCGAGAGGAACACCUGCGGCGAAGGCGGGUUGCUGGGCUGACACUGACGCUGAGGCGCGAAAGCGUGGGGAGCGAACAGG
This 253-nucleotide ribosomal RNA is filed under the name uncultured bacterium. RNAcentral describes it as "partial 16S ribosomal RNA". It matches the Rfam family "Bacterial small subunit ribosomal RNA", at positions 524 to 776 of the family's 1533-position model. The record is from RNAcentral.